UACGAAGGGGGCUAGCGUUGUUCGGAAUUAUUGGGCGUAAAGAGCUCGUAGGCGGCUUGUUGCGUCGUCCGUGAAAACCUGUGGCUCAACUACAGGCUUGCGGUCGAUACGGGCGGGCUGGAGUUCGGUAGGGGAGACUGGAAUUCCUGGUGUAGCGGUGAAAUGCGCAGAUAUCGGGAGGAACACCAAUGGCGAAGGCAGCUUGCUGGGACGGUACUGACGCUGAGGCGCGAAAGCGUGGGGAGCAAACAGG
Molecule: ribosomal RNA, 253 nt
Filed under: uncultured bacterium
Lineage: Bacteria
Description: partial 16S ribosomal RNA
Rfam family: Bacterial small subunit ribosomal RNA
Source: RNAcentral